This 3532-nucleotide long non-coding RNA is filed under the name Homo sapiens (human). RNAcentral's name for it is "non-protein coding LINC01239:8". Lineage: Eukaryota; Metazoa; Chordata; Mammalia; Primates; Hominidae. The record is from RNAcentral.
AAUUUAUAAUUUUUUUUGCUAAUGACUUCUUGUUAUUUAUUUUAUAUUUAUUUAGACUAUGGAAAUGAUGUUAGACAAAAAGCAAAUUUGAGCAAUUUUGUUAUUCGGGUUCAAAAUGGGUCGUAAAGCAGCAGAGACAACUCUCAAAACAUCAGCAACACAUUUGGCGCGGGAACUGCUAAUGAACGUACAGUGGAGUGGUGGUUCAAGAAGUUUUGCGAAGGAAACGAGAGGCUUGAAGACGAAGAGUGUAGUGGCCAGCCAUUGGAAGUAGACAACGACAAAUUGAGAGCAAUCAUUGAAGCUGAUCCUCUUACAACUACAGGAGAAGUUGCCAAGGAACUCACCAUCAAUCAUUCUAUAGUAGUUUGGCAUUUGAAGCAGAUCGGAAAGGUGAAAAAGCUUGAUAAGUGAAUGCCUCAUGAACAGAGCAAAAAUUUUAAAACAUUGUUGUUUUGAAGUGACGUCUUCUCUUAUUUUACACAACAAUGAACCAUUUCUGGAUCGAAUUAUGACAUGUGAUGAAAAGUGGAUUUUAUAUGACAAGCUGCAAAAACCAGCUCAGUGGUUGGAUGGAGAAGAAGCUUCAAAGCACUUCCCAAAGCUGAACUUGCACCAACAAAAGCUCAUGGUCACAAUUUGGUGGUCUGCCGCCAGCCUGAUCUACUACAGCUUUCGGAAUCCCAGCGAAACCAUUAUGUCUGAGAAAUAUGCUCAGCAAAUCGAUGAGAUGUGCCAAAAACUUCAAGGCCUGCAGCCGGCAUUGGUCAACCAAAAGGAUCCAAUUCUUCUCUACCACAACGCCUGACCACAUGUCACAUAACCAACCCUUCAAAAGUUGAAUAAAUUGGUCUACAAAAUUGCCUUAUCUGCCAUAUUCACCUGACCUCUCACCAACCAACUACCACUUCUUCAGGUAUUUCGACAAUUUUUUGCAGGGAAAUUGUUUCUACAACCAGCAGGAUGCAGAAAAUGCUUUCCAAGAGUUCACUGAAUCCCAAAACAUGGAUUUUUAUGCCAUGGGAGUAAGCAAACUUAUUUCUUGUUGGCAAAAAUGUGUUGAUUGUAAUGGUGUCUAUUUUGAUUAAUAUAGAUGUGUUUGAGCCUAGCUAUAACAAUUUAAAAUUCACAAUCCAAAACCACAAUUAUUUUUGUAUCAACCUAAUACUAUAGAUUUAACAAUAUUAAAUUACAAAGCCUUUUAAUUCAAAAUAACAGGCAUAUGUCUUUUGGGUGAACAGUAAAACAGUAUAUAUAUAUAUAUAUAUAUAUAUAUAUAUAUAUAUAUAUAUAUAUACACACACACACACACAUAUAUAAAACAUAUAUACUGACCAUACGUAUACACACGUGUGAGUGUGUGUUUGUGUAAACUCCAUGCUUGAUGGACGGAUGGAAUAGAUCUGUGAGCAACAAAACCACAGUUACUCAGGAAUUCUUGACUUAAAAGUCAGCAGCAUCAGUGCUAGAUGAAUGCCAUAUAUACAUGAAUAGAAUCCAAAAACCUAUCAGCCUAACUCCAAAUUUUAAUAACUUCCUCAGUGUCCUCCCAGCACUUAGUAAUAGGGCCAGUAUUGUUUAAAUACUAUCAUUUUUUCAUCGAUUAUUUAAGUUUCUUGUCUGUUCACAGAUACAGUAUUUGAAGAUUCCAAAUUCCUCAAUAAAAUUAAAUUGUUUAUUUUCAUUAGCAAAGCAAAGUUCUGACAAAAUAUUUGAUGCCUUAUUUGAGGUGUUAGGAAAACGACUGGAAUUAGAUCAAUGGUGUUUUUUAUAAAGCAAAACCUGCUAUAAAUAUAGAUUAGAUUUGCAACCAGAUUUCAUUAACUUAUCAAAGGAGCAGUGGGUCAGCAAUUUCGAGACAUUUUCCUUCAGAACUCUUGUCACAUUCCAGAAUUUCUCAGAAUGAUUUUGGUAUUUAUAUGGGAAUUUCGAAAGAAACUUCAAAAGAAAGUAUGUGACUAAUUCUACAUGCCUGCAUUUUGUUACCUAAAUUCUGGAGAGGGACAUGUAAUGUCAGAUGACGACAUCUCUACCCUCCUUGCCACCUAGGUACAAAACCUCAGUCAUCCCUAUACAUUCUUCUCUUUCUUACUUUUCAACCACUUGACAUCUAAGUAUAUAUGUAUGGUUGUUAUCCCUAAAAUAAUAGCCAAAGUUGUCCUGCAUUGAAUUUGUAAACCAAUCUGAGAAUAACUGAAAUCUUUAUAAAGUCUUCCAAUCCAUGAAGAUGAUUUAUUCCUCCAUAUAUUUGAGUUCUUUUAAAUAUCAUUCAUAAAGUUUGUUGUUUUACAGGUUUAUUCCAUGGUACUUGGUAUUUUAUUUUGCACAUUUUUGUGAUGCUGCUAUAUUUUGCCUGCAACUAACCAAUGGAAAUUACUUAAAAUCCUUCACCAAACCUUUCACUUAGGCAUUGAUAGCACCCAUCAGAUGGACAAAUUAUUAUUUGUUGGACCAGGCCUUUUCAAAACUAUCAAGCAGAUAGUCAGGUCCUGUGAAGUGUGCCAAAGAAAUAAUCCCCUGUAUGCAGGCCAUACAUUUCAAUCUCUGUAUCUUUAACCUCCUUGUUAAGUUUGUCUCUUCCAGAAUCAAAGCUAUAAAACUACAAAUGGUUCUCCAAAUGGAGCCCCAGAUGCAGUCCAUGACUAAGAUCUACUGCGGACCUCUGGACCGGCCUGCUAGCCCAGCUCCCACAUUAAUGACAUCAAAGGCACCCCUCCCGAGGAAAUCUCAACUGCAUGACACCUACUACGCCCCAAUUCAGCAGGAAGCAGUUAGAGUGGUCGUUGGCCAACCUCCCCAACAGCACUUGGGUUUUCUGUUGAGAUGGGGGACUGAGAGACAGGACUAGCUGGAUUUCCUAGGCCAACUAAGAAUCCCUAAGCCUAGCUGGGAAGGUGACUACACCCACCUUUAACCACUAGGCUUGCAACUUAGCUCACACCCGACCAAUCAGGUAGUAAAGAGAGCUUGCUAAAAUGCUAAUUAGGCAAAAACAGGAGGUAAAGAAAUAGCCAGUCAUCUAUCGCCUGACAGCACAAGGGGCGGGACAAUGAUCAGGAUAUAAACUCAGGCAUUCAAGCCAGCAAUGGCUACCCACUUUGGGUCCCCUCCCAUUUUAUGGGAGCUCUGUUUUCACUCUAUUAAAUCUUUCAACUACCAAAAAAAAAAAAAAAGAAAAGAAAAACAAUUAACUUUUUUAUAUAUCAGUUAAAUUCAUCCAUGAUGUUUUUUAUGUUUUCUGUAUUCUUACUGGUCAUUUUUCUAUUUGUUCUAUCAAGUAUCCAGGAAUAUGUGUUAAAGAUGUCCACUUCAAUUGUGAAUUUCUUGAGUUGUUCUUUCAGUUUUGUUCUUUUUUUACCUUAUGCAUUUUGAAGUUGUAUUAUUUCCUGCAUACAAAUGUAGAAUUGUGGUGUCAUUCUUUUGGAGUAAACCAUGAUCAUUACUGGCAUGACUUACUUACUUACUAUCUAUCUAGACAUGUUGAUUGCUUCAAUUUCUACUUUAAUCUUAAUAAAAAUACACCAACUUUUUA